Molecule: long non-coding RNA, 570 nt
Filed under: Marmota monax (woodchuck)
Lineage: Eukaryota; Metazoa; Chordata; Mammalia; Rodentia; Sciuridae
Source: RNAcentral
CCACCAGGCACAUGGUAGCAGUCAUCCAUGUAGUAGUGAAUGUCAUUUGAUGAGCGAUCACCACCUAUCCUAAAUGCCCUGGAAGUGCAAGGCAGGGAGACCAAGCUGGUUUUGGAAGUGGCCCAGCAUUUAGGUGAGAGCACAGUAGGAACCAUUGCUAUGGGUGGGACAGAAGGCUUGGUUAGAGGUCAGAAAGCCUUAGAUUCUAGUGCACCAAUCAAAAUUCCUGUUGGUCCUGAGAUCUUGGGCAGAUCCAUGAAUGUCAUUGGAGAACCUAUUAAUGAGAGUUUCUAUUAAAACCAAACAAUUUGCUCCUAUUCAUGCUGAGGCUCCUGAGUUCAUUGAGAUAAAUGUUGAGCAGGAAAUUCUGGUGACUGGUAUCAAGGUUGUGGAUCUGCUAACUCCCUGUGCCAAGGGUAGCAAAAUUGGGCUCUUUGAUGGUGCUGAAUGGAGUUGGCAAGACAGCGCUGAUCAUGGAGUUGGUUAACACUGUUGCCAAAGCCCAUGGUGGUUACUCUGUAUUUACUGGUGUUGGUGAGAAGACCCAUGACUUACACCAUGAAAUGAUUG